Long non-coding RNA from Triticum aestivum (bread wheat), 157 nucleotides. RefSeq lists it as uncharacterized. NCBI's taxonomy places the organism in Eukaryota, Viridiplantae, Streptophyta, Magnoliopsida, Poales, Poaceae. The transcript has 3 exons. The record is from RefSeq and is a predicted model, not a curated record.
GAUAUACCCACUGUAUUGGACCCAAACACCUUCCUGAAAAUUGUUCUGAAGGGGUUAGCACAAGGAAACUAUUGUUAUGACUUGCGAGGUCUGCUGGAGGUGACCGGAUCCGGAUGACUUGAGCAAAGCUGUGAAAAUUCACGGCAAGGGAUAGGGG